This 1148-nucleotide ribosomal RNA is filed under the name uncultured bacterium. RNAcentral describes it as "bacterial SSU rRNA". It matches the Rfam family "Bacterial small subunit ribosomal RNA", at positions 215 to 1376 of the family's 1533-position model. The record is from RNAcentral.
CCGCUGAUGGAUGAGCCUGCGGCGCAUUAGCUAGUUGGUAGGGUAAAGGCCUACCAAGGCGACGAUGCGUAGCCGACCUGAGAGGGUGAACGGCCACACUGGGACUGAGACACGGCCCAGACUCCUACGGGAGGCAGCAGUGGGGAAUAUUGCACAAUGGGGGAAACCCUGAUGCAGCAACGCCGCGUGAGUGAUGAAGGUUUUCGGAUCGUAAAGCUCUGUCUUUGGGGAAGAUAAUGACGGUACCCAAGGAGGAAGCCACGGCUAACUACGUGCCAGCAGCCGCGGUAAUACGUAGGUGGCGAGCGUUAUCCGGAAUUAUUGGGCGUAAAGGGAGCGUAGGCGGAUAAUUAAGUGGGAUGUGAAAUACUCAGGCUCAACCUGGGGGCUGCAUUCCAAACUGAUUAUCUAGAGUGCAGGAGAGGAGAGUGGAAUUCCUAGUGUAGCGGUGAAAUGCGUAGAGAUUAGGAAGAACACCAGUGGCGAAGGCGACUCUCUGGACUGUAACUGACGCUGAGGCUCGAAAGCGUGGGGAGCAAACAGGAUUAGAUACCCUGGUAGUCCAUGCCGUAAACGAUGAAAUACUAAGGUGUGGGGGGUUCAACACCUCCGUGCCGCCGCUAACGCAUUAAGUUUUCCGCCUGGGGAGUCCGGUCGCAAAGAUUAAAACUCAAAGGAAUUGACGUGGACCCGCCCAAGCAGCGGAGCGGGUGGUUUUUUUUUGAAGCAACCCGAAGAACGCUACCUUCACUUGGCAUCCCUUCCAUUACCGUGUAGUCGGCGAAAUCUCUUCGGAGACAAGGUGACAGGUGGGGCAUGGUUGUUCUCUUCUCGUGUCGUGAGAUGUUGGGUUAACUCCCUCAACGAGCGCAACCCCAAUUGUUAGUUGCUCCCUUUAAUGUGAGCAGCUCUAUCGAGACGUCCCUUGGUUAACCAGGAGGAAGGUGGGGAUGACGUCAAAUCAUCAUCCCCCUUAUGUGUAGGGUUUCUCACGUGCUGCAUUGGCAAGUACAGAGAGACGCAAAACCGGGAGGUCGGGCAAAUCCCUUAAAACUUGUCCCAGUUCGGAUUGUAGGGUGAAACUCGCCUCCAUGAAGCCGGAGUUGUUAGUAAUCGAGAAUCAGAAUGUCGCGGUGAAUACGUUCCCG